GAUGAACGCUGGCGGUAUGCUUAACACAUGCAAGUCGAACGGACUCUUCGGAGUUAGUGGCGGACGGGUGAGUAACGCGUGAGAAUCUGGCUUUGGGUUCGGGACAACCACUGGAAACGGUGGCUAAUACCGGAUGUGCCGAGAGGUAAAAGAGAAAUUGCCUGAAGAUGAGCUCGCGUCUGAUUAGCUAGUUGGUGAGGUAAAGGCUCAACAAGGCAGCGAUCAGUAGCUGGUCUGAGAGGAUGACCAGCCACACUGGGACUGAGACACGGCCCAGACUCCUACGGGAGGCAGCAGUGGGGAAUUUUCCGCAAUGGGCGAAAGCCUGACGGAGCAAUACCGCGUGAGGGAAGAAGGCUCUUGGGUUGUAAACCUCUUUUCCUAGGGAAGAACAAAAUGACGGUACCUAAGGAAUCAGCAUCGGCUAACUCCGUG
Molecule: ribosomal RNA, 435 nt
Filed under: uncultured bacterium
Lineage: Bacteria
Description: partial 16S ribosomal RNA
Rfam family: Bacterial small subunit ribosomal RNA
Source: RNAcentral